This 236-nucleotide ribosomal RNA is filed under the name uncultured Staphylococcus sp. RNAcentral describes it as "partial 16S ribosomal RNA". It matches the Rfam family "Bacterial small subunit ribosomal RNA", at positions 103 to 334 of the family's 1533-position model. The record is from RNAcentral. Lineage: Bacteria; Bacillati; Bacillota; Bacilli; Caryophanales; Staphylococcaceae.
CGGGUGAGUAACACGUGGAUAACCUACCUAUAAGACUGGAUAACUUCGGGAAACCGGAGCUAAUACCGGAUAAUAUAUUGAACCGCAUGGUUCAAUAGUGAAAGACGGUUUUGCUGUCACUUAUAGAUGGAUCCGCGCCGCAUUAGCUAGUUGGUAAGGUAACGGCUUACCAAGGCAACGAUGCGUAGCCGACCUGAGAGGGUGAUUGGCCACACUGGAACUGAGACACGGUCCAG